RNAcentral lists this ribosomal RNA (716 nucleotides) under uncultured Bacteroidota bacterium. Its description in RNAcentral is "bacterial SSU rRNA". It matches the Rfam family "Bacterial small subunit ribosomal RNA", at positions 8 to 717 of the family's 1533-position model. The record is from RNAcentral. Lineage: Bacteria; Pseudomonadati; Bacteroidota.
AGAGUUUAGUCAUGGCUCAGGAUGAACGCUAGCGGCAGGCUUAACACAUGCAAGUCGAGGGGUAACGAUUAGUGCUUGCACUAAGGCGACGACCGGCGCACGGGUGCGUAACGCGUAUAGAAUCUACCUUAUACUGGAGAAUAGCCUUUGGAAACGAAGAUUAAUGCUCCAUAGUAAGUAAAAAUGGCAUCGUUUUUACUUUAAAGCUCCGGCGGUAUAAGAUGACUAUGCGUCCUAUUAGCUAGAUGGUAAGGUAACGGCUUACCAUGGCAACGAUAGGUAGGGGUCCUGAGAGGGAGAUCCCCCACACUGGUACUGAGACACGGACCAGACUCCUACGGGAGGCAGCAGUGAGGAAUAUUGGACAAUGGAGGCAACUCUGAUCCAGCCAUGCCGCGUGCAGGAAGACUGCCCUAUGGGUUGUAAACUGCUUUUAUAUGGGAAGAAUAAGACCUACGUGUAGGUUGAUGACGGUACCAUAAGAAUAAGCACCGGCUAACUCCGUGCCAGCAGCCGCGGUAAUACGGAGGGUGCAAGCGUUAUCCGGAAUCAUUGGGUUUAAAGGGUCCGUAGGCGGGUUUAUAAGUCAGUGGUGAAAGUCUGCAGCUUAACUGUAGAACUGCCAUUGAUACUGUAGAUCUUGAAUUAUUGUGAAGUGGUUAGAAUAUGUAGUGUAGCGGUGAAAUGCUUAAGAUUACAUAGAAUACCGAUUGGCG